AAUCAACGCUGGCGGCGUGCUUCAGACAUGCAAGUCGAACGCGAAAGCUCCCUUCGGGGAGCAAGUAGAGUGGCGCACGGGUGAGUAACACGUAGGUAAUCUACCUUUGGAUGGGGAAUAACAACCGGAAACGGUUGCUAAUACCGCAUAAUGCAGCGGCACCUAAUGGUGACAGUUGUUAAAGCGGGGGAUCGCAAGACCUCGCGUCUGAAGAGGAGCCUGCGGCAGAUUAGCUAGUUGGUAAGGUAACGGCUUACCAAGGCGAUGAUCUGUAGCCGGCCUGAGAGGGCGGUCGGCCACACUGACACUGACAUACGGGUCAGACUCCUACGGGAGGCAGCAGUCGGGAAUUUUGGGCAAUGGGCGAAAGCCUGACCCAGCAACGCCGCGUGAAGGAUGAAAUCCCUCGGGAUGUAAACUUCGCAAGAACGGGAAGAAUAAGUCGGUGUAAACACCACCGACGAUGACGGUACUGUUUGUAAGCUCCGGCUAACUCCGUGCCAGC
RNAcentral lists this ribosomal RNA (505 nucleotides) under uncultured bacterium. Its description in RNAcentral is "bacterial SSU rRNA". It matches the Rfam family "Bacterial small subunit ribosomal RNA", at positions 32 to 512 of the family's 1533-position model. The record is from RNAcentral.